GACGAACGCUGGCGGCGUGCUUAACACAUGCAAGUCGAACGAAGUGGCGAACGGGUGAGUAACGCGUAAUCAACCUGCCCUUCAGCGGGGGACGACAGUUGGACACGACUGCUAAUACGGCAUGCUGAAGGAGGGGGGUGCGUCUGUUUAGGUAGUGGGAGGGGUAAGGGCCCACGAAGGCGAUGAUCAGUGGCAGGACUGCGAGGAUGAAUGGCCACACUGGGAGUGGGACCCGGCCCAGACUCCCUCGGGAGGCAGCAGUGGGGAAUCGUGCGGCAUGGAUGAAAGUCUGACGACGCAACGCGGCGGCCUUGAUGACGGCCGUCGGGUUGUAAAUCUCUGUUAAUCGGGACGCGGUACCGGAAUAGAAAGCAACGGCUAACUACGUGCCAGCAGCCGCGGUAAUAC
RNAcentral lists this ribosomal RNA (408 nucleotides) under uncultured bacterium. RNAcentral describes it as "partial 16S ribosomal RNA". It matches the Rfam family "Bacterial small subunit ribosomal RNA", at positions 28 to 526 of the family's 1533-position model. The record is from RNAcentral.